UGUUGAAAGCUUGCUGGAUAUACAACUUAGUGGCGGACGGGUGAGUAACACGUGAGUAACCUGCCUCUCAGAGUGGAAUAACGUUUGGAAACGAACGCUAAUACCGCAUAACGUGAGAAGAGGGCAUCCUCUUUUUACCAAAGAUUUAUCGCUGAGAGAUGGGCUCGCGGCCGAUUAGGUAGUUGGUGAGAUAACAGCCCACCAAGCCGACGAUCGGUGGCCGGACUGAGAGGUUGAUCGGCCACAUUGGGACUGAGACACGGCCCAGACUCCUACGGGAGGCAGCAGUGGGGGAUAUUGCACAAUGGGGGAAACCCUGAUGCAGCGACGCCGCGUGAGGGAAGACGGUUUUCGGAUUGUAAACCUCUGUCUUUAGGGACGAAAAAAAUGACGGUACCUAAGGAGGAAGCCACGGCUAACUACGUGCCAGCAGCCGCGGUAAUACGUAGGUGGCAAGCGUUGUCCGGAAUUACUGGGUGUAAAGGGAGCGUAGGCGGGGAGACAAGUUGAAUGUCUAAACUAUCGGCUUAACUGAUAGUCGCGUUCAAAACUAUCACUCUUGAGUGCAGUAGAGGUAGGCGGAAUUCCUAGUGUAGCGGUGAAAUGCGCCGAUAUUAGGAGGAAC
RNAcentral lists this ribosomal RNA (625 nucleotides) under uncultured Lachnospiraceae bacterium. RNAcentral describes it as "bacterial SSU rRNA". It matches the Rfam family "Bacterial small subunit ribosomal RNA", at positions 68 to 707 of the family's 1533-position model. The record is from RNAcentral. Lineage: Bacteria; Bacillati; Bacillota; Clostridia; Lachnospirales; Lachnospiraceae.